This 251-nucleotide ribosomal RNA is filed under the name uncultured prokaryote. Its description in RNAcentral is "partial 16S rRNA". It matches the Rfam family "Archaeal small subunit ribosomal RNA", at positions 475 to 727 of the family's 1478-position model. The record is from RNAcentral.
ACCCGCGGCCCAAGUGGUGGUCGAUAUUAUUGAGCCUAAAACGUCCGUAGCCGGUCUUGUAAAUCCUUGGGUAAAUCUACCAGCUCAACUGUUCGAAGUCCGGGGAGACUGCAAGACUUGGGAUCGGGAGAGGUGAGAGGUACUUCUGGGGUACAUCAGAGUUGAAGGAACCCGACGAGGAAAGGCGGAGCCGAGGGGGACACACGAAAACAUACACGAGGGUGAGGGGCGAACCUGAGGUUUCUUGCCUG